GGUAAAAUGGCUGAUUAGGCGAUAAAUUGUAAAUUUAUUUAUGAUAUAUAAUAUCUUUUACU
This 62-nucleotide transfer RNA is filed under the name Downesia tarsata. Its description in RNAcentral is "tRNA-Tyr". Lineage: Eukaryota; Metazoa; Arthropoda; Insecta; Coleoptera; Chrysomelidae. The record is from RNAcentral.